Molecule: ribosomal RNA, 320 nt
Filed under: Staphylococcus hominis
Lineage: Bacteria; Bacillati; Bacillota; Bacilli; Caryophanales; Staphylococcaceae
Description: bacterial SSU rRNA
Rfam family: Bacterial small subunit ribosomal RNA
Source: RNAcentral
UCAGGAUGAACGCUGGCGGCGUGCCUAAUACAUGCAAGUCGAGCGAACAGACGAGGAGCUUGCUCCUUUGACGCUUAGCGGCGACGGGUGAGUAACACGUGGGUAACCUACCUAUAAGACUGGGAUAACUUCGGGAAACCGGAGCUAAUACCGGAUAAUAUUUCGAACCGCAUGGUUCGAUAGUGAAAGAUGGCUUUGCUAUCACUUAUAGAUGGACCUGCGCCGUAUUAGCUAGUUGGUAAGGUAACGGCUUACCAAGGCAACGAUACGUAGCCGACCUGAGAGGGUGAUCGGCCACACUGGAACUGAGACACGGUCCA